ACAACAACUAUGAAAAGGAUAGUAAUAAAAAAUCUGGUUUUAAGAGACAUAAUCCUCGGCUGAAAGAUUGUGACGAAGGUUUUUUAUGAAGAUCACCUUGGAGUUGGGCAGCUGAAAUUAUCUAAGCUGCUCCGUAGGCAUACGUUACAUGUUUUAAGCGAUUGAUGGAGCUAUCCAUUAAUAACAAGGGUGGUACCGCGGAUAAUCCGUCCCUAAG
This 217-nucleotide non-coding RNA is filed under the name Desulfosporosinus sp. RNAcentral describes it as "T-box sequence". It matches the Rfam family "T-box leader". Rfam says of the family: Uncharged tRNA acts as the effector for transcription antitermination of genes in the T-box leader family. T-boxes are found upstream of many aminoacyl-tRNA synthetase genes and some amino acid biosynthetic genes usually in Gram-positive bacteria. The anticodon of a specific tRNA base pairs to a specifier sequence within the T-box motif, and the NCCA acceptor tail of the tRNA base pairs to a conserved bulge in the T-box antiterminator hairpin. Lineage: Bacteria; Bacillati; Bacillota; Clostridia; Eubacteriales; Desulfitobacteriaceae. The record is from RNAcentral.